RNAcentral lists this ribosomal RNA (306 nucleotides) under uncultured bacterium. RNAcentral's name for it is "partial 16S ribosomal RNA". It matches the Rfam family "Bacterial small subunit ribosomal RNA", at positions 507 to 807 of the family's 1533-position model. The record is from RNAcentral.
GACAGCAGCCGCCACGGGAAUACGAAGGGGGCUAGCGUUGUUCGGAAUUACUGGGCGUAAAGCGCACGUAGGCGGAUAUUUAAGUCAGGGGUGAAAUCCCGCAGCUCAACUGCGGAACUGCCUUUGAUACUGGGUAUCUUGAGUAUGGAAGAGGUUAGUGGAAUUGCGAGUGUAGAGGUGAAAUUCGUAGAUAUUCGCAGGAACACCAGUGGCGAAGGCGGCUAACUGGUCCAUAACUGACGCUGAGGUGCGAAAGCGUGGGGAGCAAACAGGAUUAGAUACCCCCGUAGUCCCUGUCUCUUAUAC